GACGUAGGAUGCAAGCGUUGUCCGGAUUUAUUGGGCGUAAAGAGUUCGUAGGCGGUUCGUUAAGUCUGAUGUUAAAGACUGGGGCUCAGCCCCGGGAGUGCAUUGGAUACUGGCGGACUGGAGUGUGGUAGAGGCUAGUGGAAUUCCCAGUGUAGCGGUGAAAUGCGUAGAUAUUGGGAAGAACACCAGUGGCGUAGGCGACUAACUGGGCCAU
Molecule: ribosomal RNA, 214 nt
Filed under: uncultured bacterium
Lineage: Bacteria
Description: partial 16S ribosomal RNA
Rfam family: Bacterial small subunit ribosomal RNA
Source: RNAcentral